AGCCUACGGGGGGCAGCAGUAGGGAAUCUUCCACAAUGGGCGAAAGCCUGAUGGAGCAACGCCGCGUGGGUGAAGAAGGUCUUCGGAUCGUAAAACCCUGUUGUUAGAGAAGAAAGUGCGUGAGAGUAACUGUUCACGUUUCGACGGUAUCUAACCAGAAAGCCACGGCUAACUACGUGCCAGCAGCCGCGGUAAUACGUAGGUGGCAAGCGUUAUCCGGAUUUAUUGGGCGUAAAGAGAACGCAGGCGGUCUUUUACGGCUGAUGUGAAAGCCUUCGGCUUAACCGGAGUAGUGCAUGGGAAAA
RNAcentral lists this ribosomal RNA (305 nucleotides) under uncultured bacterium. RNAcentral describes it as "bacterial SSU rRNA". It matches the Rfam family "Bacterial small subunit ribosomal RNA", at positions 335 to 633 of the family's 1533-position model. The record is from RNAcentral.